GUGAACAUACCUAUAACGUUGCCUCGGCGGGAACAGACGGCCCCGUAACACGGGCCGCCCCCGCCAGAGGACCCCCUAACUCUGUUUCUAUAAUGUUUCUUCUGAGUAAACAAGCAAAUAAAUUAAAACUUUCAACAACGGAUCUCUUGGCUCUGGCAUCGAUGAAGAACGCAGCGAAAUGCGAUAAGUAAUGUGAAUUGCAGAAUUCAGUGAAUCAUCGAAUCUUUGAACGCACAUUGCGCCCGCCAGUAUUCUGGCGGGCAUGCCUGUUCGAGCGUCAUUACAACCCUCAGGCCCCCGGGCCUGGCGUUGGGGAUCGGCGGAAGCCCCCUGCGGGCACAACGCCGUCCCCCAAAUACAGUGGCGGUCCCGCCGCAGCUUCCAUUGCGUAGUAGCUAACACCUCGCAACUGGAGAGCGGCGCGGCCACGCCGUAAAACACCCAACUUCUGAAUGUUGACCUCGAAUCAGGUAGGAAUACCCGCUGAACUUAAGCAUAUCAAUA
RNAcentral lists this ribosomal RNA (504 nucleotides) under Fusarium solani. RNAcentral describes it as "eukaryotic LSU rRNA". The stretch from base 127 to 280 matches the Rfam family "5.8S ribosomal RNA". Lineage: Eukaryota; Fungi; Ascomycota; Sordariomycetes; Hypocreales; Nectriaceae. The record is from RNAcentral.